Molecule: ribosomal RNA, 109 nt
Filed under: Xenopus laevis (African clawed frog)
Lineage: Eukaryota; Metazoa; Chordata; Amphibia; Anura; Pipidae
Source: RNAcentral
GCCUAUGGCCACACCACUAUGAAAGCACCUAAUCUUGGAAGCUAUCUGGGGCUGGGUCUGGUUAGUACCUGGAUGGGAGAUCGCCUGGGAAUGCCAGGUGUCGUAGGCU